Molecule: transfer RNA, 65 nt
Filed under: Desis jiaxiangi
Lineage: Eukaryota; Metazoa; Arthropoda; Arachnida; Araneae; Desidae
Description: tRNA-Asp
Source: RNAcentral
AGAAGUAUAGUUAAAUUAUAAUAUUAAUUUGUCAAGUUAAAGAUAGGAAAAUUCCUCAAUUAAUA